CUUCUUCAGGCAAAUAGACCUCCAUUCUGGACCAAUGUAUCACAGCACAGCCCGAGCACUGCAGACAGCAAGGCGUGGCUGCCCUUUUAAGAGACUUGGCUGGGUUUAAACUCACAGCUCCUGCAUCCCAGUCAGGUUCUCUGCCGUGCUGUCCACCAGGGGGCUUCAGUUUCUGUUUGCAUUUUUCUGCUUCCUGACCACCUUGCCCUGGAUAAAGCAGCACUGAUCCAUCUGCACCUAAUUAGAAGGCUGUAAAAGCCAGCCCUGUCUGAGACCUAGUAUCUGGUCAUUUUGCCUCUUUGAUUUUUCCUGCCGGAUCUUUG
Pelobates cultripes (western spadefoot toad) is the source of this 323-nucleotide non-coding RNA. The record is from the annotation of a GenBank genome assembly. Lineage: Eukaryota; Metazoa; Chordata; Amphibia; Anura; Pelobatidae.